AAAAAGGGUUUCUGUCACAAGAGGCACACGUAGGACAGCUCUUGUUCUUUGCAGAAUCAACAUCAAGAGAUUUUGGAAGUAUAAUUUUUUGGUUCUUGGGUAGCUGGUGAUUGUUGGUCCUGGCACCCUU
This is a small nuclear RNA of Bison bison bison, 130 nucleotides long. The record is from Ensembl. NCBI's taxonomy places the organism in Eukaryota, Metazoa, Chordata, Mammalia, Artiodactyla, Bovidae.